GAGAAAGUAUGCAAGAACUGCUAAUUCUAUGCCUCCAUGUCUAAUAACAUGGCUUUUUCA
Molecule: transfer RNA, 60 nt
Filed under: Ovis dalli (Dall sheep)
Lineage: Eukaryota; Metazoa; Chordata; Mammalia; Artiodactyla; Bovidae
Also listed under: 1 other name
Description: tRNA-Ser
Source: RNAcentral